This 764-nucleotide long non-coding RNA is filed under the name Manihot esculenta (cassava). RNAcentral's name for it is "long non-coding RNA (MESC_LNC013140)". Lineage: Eukaryota; Viridiplantae; Streptophyta; Magnoliopsida; Malpighiales; Euphorbiaceae. The record is from RNAcentral.
GAAGCAACCCAACGUGUGAAACAAAAAGGGGCCUGUUGUUGGCCCACGCUUGAAUACAAAAUCAACGGGAAACGCUCGUCGUGUUCUUCUUCUUCUUUCUUUCUUCUCGGGAACUCCUUUCUCUCUCCCUUUUUUUCUUCAUAUUUAUUCUUCUCCUCUGUCUCCACUCCUACACAUCCCUCCUCUCUCUCUCUCUCUGUCUCUCUCUCUCUUCAAUCACUUUCUCACCUCCUGCAUUCUCUACAGCAAAUGGUAACCAAAAACAAGAAGAAGAAGAAGAGAUUAACACCCCGCCUCCACUGCAACAGAUAUGUACAGUUUCUACAGUUCCUUUCAUCAUUCUAAUGAAUCAUUCUCAGAGAGUUUCGUCUCCUGUGAGUUCUUCAUCGGACCAUAAUAUUUGGUGGCGUACAUGGGAAAGCCAGGCAUUUCUUACCCUACUUGAUUUUGUUCUUAUUCUUCCUGUUCUUGAUCUCGUUUUCAUGUUUCUUUUUCCUUUUUUUUUUAUGGGUUUUUAAUUUAAAUAUGGAGGGAUAAAGAGAUAUUUAAUUACAAGAAAUAUAUGUAAACUGUUUUUGUUAGAAAUUGUCAAUGCAGAUUCAUAGCCAAUUAAUAAGGUUUUGGCUGGUUGGUUUCCCAGGUCUCUCUCCUUGCAUGUUAUGUUAUUUUCUUUUCUUUUCUUUUUCCAGUAAUUUAUUCAAUGUGUCAUUUUGUUUUCUCAUAAUAAUAAUAAUAAUAAUAAUAAUAAUAAUAACAACAUUUCU